This 278-nucleotide unclassified non-coding RNA is filed under the name fungal sp. RNAcentral describes it as "partial internal transcribed spacer region". The stretch from base 1 to 46 matches the Rfam family "Eukaryotic small subunit ribosomal RNA", at positions 1786 to 1831 of the family's 1831-position model. Lineage: Eukaryota; Fungi. The record is from RNAcentral.
AAGUCGUAACAAGGUUUCCGUAGGUGAACCUGCGGAAGGAUCAUUAUUGAUUGAUGUACUCUUCUUUUGUUGGUUGCUCCUUUUUUGGGGCUCCACUUUAGAAGAGACACCGACCUUUUGUGCACCAUUUGUCUGGACAACAGUCUUUGCAGUUUUGUGAGAUUGGAAUUCAGUCAAAAACCUACCUUUUUAGAACCUUUGCCUGAUGAUCAAUAUUUCUUUGUAAAUAAACAAUCAUAAUUUGAAAUAACUUUUAACAACGGAUCUCUUGGCUCUCC